ACGCGAGGAACCUUACCAGGUCUUGACAUCCCGCUGACCGUCCUGGAGACAGGAUUUUCCCUUCGGGGACAGCGGUGACAGGUGGUGCAUGGUUGUCGUCAGCUCGUGUCGUGAGAUGUUGGGUUAAGUCCCGCAACGAGCGCAACCCUUGAUCUUAGUUGCCAGCAUUUAGUUGGGCACUCUAAGGUGACUGCCGGUGACAAACCGGAGGAAGGUGGGGAUGACGUCAAAUCAUCAUGCCCCUUAUGACCUGGGCUACACACGUGCUACAAUGGAUGGUACAAAGGGCUGCAAGACUGCGAAGUCAAGCCAAUCCCAUAAAACCAUUCUCAGUUCGGAUUGCAGGCUGCAACUCGCCUGCAUGAAGCCGGAAUCGCUAGUAAUCGCGGAUCAGCAUGCCGCGGUGAAUACGUUCCCGGGCCUUGCACACACCGCCCGU
RNAcentral lists this ribosomal RNA (439 nucleotides) under uncultured bacterium. RNAcentral describes it as "bacterial SSU rRNA". It matches the Rfam family "Bacterial small subunit ribosomal RNA", at positions 959 to 1397 of the family's 1533-position model. The record is from RNAcentral.